Gallus gallus (chicken) is the source of this 1112-nucleotide long non-coding RNA. The record is from Ensembl. Lineage: Eukaryota; Metazoa; Chordata; Aves; Galliformes; Phasianidae.
GGAUAAUGAUGGUGGCACCACCCCUGCAAAUUCAUGUUAUGAGACAUCGGUUUCAGACAAACCACUUGCACAGCCAUCAUGGUGACAGCUACAGGCAACGUGGUAACCUGCAGAUUGCUCACAGAGUGAAGCGAGGCCAGUAAUGAAGCAGAGUAAGGCAAGAGGAAUCAUGAAAAAAAAAAUAUAUAUAUAUAUAUAUUUUGAAGAUACUGGACUAAACUUGGAAGCACAUUUGCUUCAAGAAUCAUUCAAGAUCUUCAGGUCACUGUGGGAAAUGACCUCCUGGGAAGACAAGAAGAUGGCCAGCUGACCUACUUGUGCAAUGGGCAGCCAGUUGAAAGAACCACAAAAGCAGAUGGAAAGUCAAAGAGCUUCUGAAAAUAAGGAACAUGUUCACAUCCACACAAGAAUUAUUCUGCAAAGACCGGAAAUCUGCCGAUGACAUUUAGGCAAAGAUGGAGAAGGAUAUUUGAAAUGAUGUGGAAGACACAUCAUCUGCAUUUUUACUGAUAUGAUCAGCUGUAGAAAUGGUGACCCUGCAAAAAUUAGCUCAUCCCAAAGGUUUGGAGCACGUGCAGCCAAACAAACCUGCUUUACCAACGGGGUGCCACUGGAUAUCAGGGUGCACAUCGUAGAAGACUUUGGUUUCCUUGUCAAAAACUUUAAUGUCAUUGGCAUGUUCCUUCAAAAUUUUCAGUUCUGAUGGAUUUGGUAGAAAAGUGUUUUACUUGGUUGUUUUCAACUGACUGUACUCAGUCUAGACCAAAAAAAUUGCAAAAGCACAGAAAGGAAAUAUUGCUAUGUUUGAUCAACAGAUGGGGAAGUGAGUCAUGGUGGAUUUAGUUUAUUUACCCUAGAUUAUGCAAGAAAUGUGAGACUGAGCUGGAAAUAUAUUCCAGGACUUACUCUCUAGUGUAUUUUUCCCUUCCACGAAAUUCAAAAUCUGUGCAGCUUCAGCUUAAAAGAAAAAAGUAAGAAACAAAGUAUUACUAUUUUUUGUCUCAAUCACAUAGUUAUCAUAGAAGAAGAAAGCUUUCAAUGUCCAUUAAGAAGUUAAAAUUCAGAUAUUAAAAGAUUACCAAAGGAUAAUGUAAAAGAUAUUGCAACAUGUC